Molecule: long non-coding RNA, 1431 nt
Filed under: Nicotiana tabacum (common tobacco)
Lineage: Eukaryota; Viridiplantae; Streptophyta; Magnoliopsida; Solanales; Solanaceae
Description: long non-coding RNA (NTAB_LNC004260)
Source: RNAcentral
GGUACAUAUAUAAUACUCCAUCCGAAGAACUACAUAUGUGCGUUAGUAUUUCUAGGGAGGAUAAAGGGGGAGGCAGGAAGAAAGAUAAGUUGUACUAUACCUGCACAUAUAGAUAUUAAAGUUACAAUUCAGUAAUCAAGUGUUUUUAAAGAAACGGUUAAUAAAAUAUAUGAAACUCAAAAGUUAUAAAUUCGAAAAUUCCUCCAAGGCAAAGGCUCAAGAUAUCUAUCUCUGUCUUAACACUAACUUUUAGAAUUUGAGACUUCUUUAGGUAACCAAGCAUAUAUUAUCCAAGAUAAUAAUCAUUCAAUAUGUGUAACCAAGCAUAAAUCAUUCACGAUUUCAUUCGUUUAUUCGAUGUUCUGCUAUGAAUGUCAAACCAGAAACAACAAUUCCUUUUCUCUUUCAUCUAGAUAUGAAGUUAGAAUUUGACAACAUCCUUUACUAUAAAAAAGAAACUCCUUGAUUCUACUGCAUGUAGCCACACACAACUAAAGACAUUGUAAAAUUAUACACAGUCGAACAUAGAACUAAUGUGCACGCGACAACUAAGAGCAGAAGCCAGAUAAACAUUUUAUUCUUAAAGAAUUGAAUCCCGAGCUGCAAGAAUAUUCUUCUUUCACGUAAUCAAUCCACAUAAACUUUCAUAAUUUAAAAUUAAAAUAAAAUAAAGAAGGAAUUUUCACUAUCCAAGAAUUGAAUUUCCUCAAUUUCUAAACUACCAAAAUAUUUUUGUUUGACGUAAGUGGAGCGACAUAAAAUUACAAAAGCAAAUGCUCAUUAAAAAUAUUUAAAAAAAAAUAUUUUUAACACAUACGGAGAUUUUUUGUCAAGAACAAAUCUUUUCUAACACUUUGAGCUGCUACAAAACAAUCGUGCUUCACAUAAGUGACCCAUCUAAAUAAUAAUAACAAAUAGCCACUAAAAAUAAUUUAAAAAAUUAUAACCGUAACAAUGAAAUGAACAAAGAGGAUAAAACAAUGGCAAACUCAUCGGCUACAAGGGCGUAGCUAACCGAGGGAAGGACACAAAUCUGUUUUCUUUUUGAAGAAUAAAUCUGCAGCUAUAAAAGAAAAGAUUGCAGUUAUGGGAGGAUGACAAUUGAAAAACCUUCACAUCAGCCGUGAAACUGGAACGAGAAUUAAACAGAUUAAGAGCGACAUUAGCUAUAAUUUUCAAUCGUGAAAUUCAGAAGUUUGAAGAGAACUAAAAAGAAUUAGGGAAAAAACGAAAUUGGAGGAAAAAUUGAGAAUAAAACUAACAUGAAAUAUGAAGAGAACUCACAAAAAGUACUUCAAAGUAGUCGAAAGAGUUGGGAAGAGCGGUGAUGUUUCUCUAUCCUUGAAAUGAAAGAAGCCGCAAGUAGGAAAGCAUUAUUAUGAAUAAGCAAAAUGUCAAUUUUUGCCCUUGGUUAAUCACACUUUCCUUUUC